GAACGAUGAAGCCCUUCGGGGUGGAUUAGUGGCGAACGGGUGAGUAACACGUGGGCAAUCUGCCCUUCACUCUGGGACAAGCCCUGGAAACGGGGUCUAAUACCGGAUAACACUCUGUCCCGCAUGGGACGGGGUUAAAAGCUCCGGCGGUGAAGGAUGAGCCCGCGGCCUAUCAGCUUGUUGGUGGGGUGAUGGCCUACCAAGGCGACGACGGGUAGCCGGCCUGAGAGGGCGACCGGCCACACUGGGACUGAGACACGGCCCAGACUCCUACGGGAGGCAGCAGUGGGGAAUAUUGCACAAUGGGCGAAAGCCUGAUGCAGCGACGCCGCGUGAGGGAUGACGGCCUUCGGGUUGUAAACCUCUUUCAGCAGGGAAGAAGCGAAAGUGACGGUACCUGCAGAAGAAGCGCCGGCUAACUACGUGCCAGCAGCCGCGGUAAUACGUAGGGCGCAAGCGUUGUCCGGAAUUAUUGGGCGUAAAGAGCUCGUAGGCGGCUUGUCACGUCGGAUGUGAAAGCCCGGGGCUUAACCCCGGGUCUGCAUUCGAUACGGGCUAGCUAGAGUGUGGUAGGGGAGAUCGGAAUUCCUGGUGUAGCGGUGAAAUGCGCAGAUAUCAGGAGGAACACCGGUGGCGAAGGCGGAUCUCUGGGCCAUUACUGACGCUGAGGAGCGAAAGCGUGGGGAGCGAACAGGAUUAGAUACCCUGGUAGUCCACGCCGUAAACGUUGGGAACUAGGUGUUGGCGACAUUCCACGUCGUCGGUGCCGCAGCUAACGCAU
RNAcentral lists this ribosomal RNA (781 nucleotides) under Streptomyces flavovirens. Its description in RNAcentral is "bacterial SSU rRNA". It matches the Rfam family "Bacterial small subunit ribosomal RNA", at positions 64 to 860 of the family's 1533-position model. The record is from RNAcentral. Lineage: Bacteria; Bacillati; Actinomycetota; Actinomycetes; Kitasatosporales; Streptomycetaceae.